Echinostoma caproni is the source of this 82-nucleotide non-coding RNA. Lineage: Eukaryota; Metazoa; Platyhelminthes; Trematoda; Plagiorchiida; Echinostomatidae. The record is from Rfam.
GGCCUCGUAGCUCAACUGGUAGAGCAUACGCCUGCAAAUCGUAGGCGGUGUCCAUGCGUGGGUUCGAAUCCCACCGAGGCUA